Long non-coding RNA from Rhinichthys klamathensis goyatoka, 337 nucleotides. RefSeq lists it as uncharacterized. The transcript is spliced from 3 exons. The record is from RefSeq and is a predicted model, not a curated record. NCBI's taxonomy places the organism in Eukaryota, Metazoa, Chordata, Actinopteri, Cypriniformes, Leuciscidae.
UAAGCUGGAGUGUACAAAAAAAGAGAGAGAGAGAGACAGAGGCUUUUCAGAACUAAGAUGACGUCUGUUUCAUUGUCAGACCAAAAUAAGUGGAUUGAUUGAAUUGGUUCGGGAAGCAGUGCCCUCUAGUGGACUGGAGGAUGGCUCGCCUUUGUCCGAGUUCACGUCUGUUAACUUUGAGAGGUCAGACUGCGGUGUGCUCAUUUGUUCUCUUUUCGAUCUCAGCCUGAAGCACAGAAUCAACGGUGAAGGGAGAUGAAGGGGAGUCCGGCCUGGAGCCAGGCAGUUUGCGGGACAGCAGAGGGGAUCCAGGAUAUGGAGGAGAGGAAAAGCAAGG